Small nucleolar RNA from Molossus molossus (Pallas's mastiff bat), 215 nucleotides. RefSeq annotates it as small nucleolar RNA U3. The record is from RefSeq and is a predicted model, not a curated record. The transcript has a single exon. Lineage: Eukaryota; Metazoa; Chordata; Mammalia; Chiroptera; Molossidae.
AAGACUAUACUUUCAGGGAUCAUUUCUAUAGUUUGUUACUAGAGAAGUUUCUGAUUGUGUAGAACACCCGAAACCACAAGGAAGAGAUACAGCAUUCUCUUCUGAGCAUGAAGCCAGCUCUUGGUGUUGUUUCAGUAACUGCCAUUUGCCACUAAUGAUUGUUCUUUUUUCUCUCCUUGGAGAGAAUGAGAGGGAGAGAAUGCGGUCUGAGUGGA